Molecule: long non-coding RNA, 2664 nt
Organism: Ictidomys tridecemlineatus (thirteen-lined ground squirrel)
Lineage: Eukaryota; Metazoa; Chordata; Mammalia; Rodentia; Sciuridae
Source: Ensembl
UAUGUUAACUUUCCUCCUACAGUUUAAAAAACAGGAAAAGCUGUAGAGAAAACUGACACCAAUGUGAGUUUAGACCCUGGCAACCCGGUAAGAAAAUAAGGCAGGAAUUAGCACCAUGGACAGAGACCAGCAGACCCUGCCUGCAUAAAAGUUUACUAAGCCUGGUACAGUGUUUUCUGUCCCUUCUUGUGAAACACAGAAACAGCAUUUCUUGGCUUCACUGCAUUUUGAGGAAGACACCCUCCUACUCUGUAGAAACACGGACUUUGUUUUGACUUUGUUAGGACUGGGCCAUAUGACCAACCACCGCCGGGAGAGUUGGAGCCCCGAAUUCACAGGGCACCUGCUACUGUCAUCCUCUUUUACAUACAUUUCGCUUGCCUGGAUGAGCAUGGCUUUCAUCAAAGUGCUCACACAAAAUAAAUGCAAAUCCAGGUAGUCUUCGAAAAGUCUGAUAAACCUCCAGAGUUUUAUAUCCUCGAAAUUACCAAUGGGAAAGGAUGCAAGACCGCCUGCCGGAUCACACUUGUUCCCCUCCCCCAGUAUUAUCUGAAUUCUUUUCAUCCGCCAGGCAAAGGGGCAAAGUCCUUUUCAUCCAAAGAUGGUUUGCCUGCAGAUAUUCAGACUAAGAUCUGUUGCACGUGCCCCAGACGUCUCUGAAAAUAUAUUUGCAGCCUCGGAUAGAUGACCAUUUACGUAAAAGCUCCUAUGAAUGUCCUCGGAUUUUCCUCACCUCUUUUAUUCAGUAUCAGCUUUUAGGAGGAAAAACACACGUCUCUGCUAGCAUGCAAAGGGGCAUCUAGGCAACCCAGAGAGGGUGAAGAAAAGCUGGAGGUGGGAAAGGGCAAAUCAAAGCUGUGUGUCCGGUUCUUUGGUUAAGUGUUAAGAGCCCUCUCUAAGCUUCCUCUCGAAGCCAAUACAUCUCAUGCAAAAUUAAUACAAGUAAUUAAAAAUAGCAGUUUCCAAAGUUAAAGGAAACCAUCUGUCUCAGCUGGUAGCAAUCAGUCUUUUCGCGGGUCCCUUUACCGGGACCUGGAAAGAAACGGUUUUUCUGCUUCCGAUGCUCCGAGGCUCGCUCUUAUAUUGAAGAUUUAUGUUUCCACUUGUGUGCGAUGCACGUCUAAUUUGAAAUAAUAAAGCCGGGCUGAGCAACCAGUCAAUCAGAGCUAUCAACUGCGCCCGGCACACCGCCCUGCCCCCAACAUCCCUCAGGUCUCUAACUCUUCCUCUCCCCACCCCCUCCCUCAUUCUGCCUCUCCAUCCUCUUUCCUCCCUCCUCUGUUCUCACACACACUCACACUUUGCCCCCCACGUGUGUUCAGAUCAAACCCUUGCCCCACAGAGCAAGUGACAGCACCGGGGCACGGUGACAAAGGCAGAGUUUGUAUCAGAAGAAGACUGAGGCCCGGGGAGACACCGCGGCUAGAGAAACAGCUGUCUUAUCAGCCUGCUGCAGAGAUGGAGAUGGCUCGAGAGGUCCUCAACAGAUAAUCACUUGAAUAGGUUUGCAAUGCGCCAAACUUCACGCUUGAUAAGGCCAACCCAAUGUAGAGAGCAGCCCAGAUCCUGCUCCAUUCUGUUUUAUCUGGGCUGUAAAUUAAGAAAUUGAAAUUCAGGUGGCAGAGGCAGCAGUCUGCUGAUAGACCGCUAAAGUAAACUGUCAUUAAAAUGCUUUCAGCAAGCAGAGAGGGGGCGCCUGGAAGGGGAUAUUGUUUGUUUGUUUGUUGGUUGUUUAUAUGGGAGUAAAAACAGUGAGAGGAAAGAGCCCACGGAGUUAAAAAUUAUUUGGGGAGGGAAAGCUACAAGGAGUAGAAAAGGACACGGCAUAUGGCCAGGAUUCCUAAUCAUGACUACCAUGAAUAAACAAUUUCAAAAAAUAAACUUUGAAAUUGUUUGAAGGUUGGCAUUAUAGAGAUGAAGAAACGAUUUUAACCAAUGUGGCAUAAAAGGGAAUAUUAUCUUUAUCAGAGUGGGGCAGUCCAAGUGGAUCCCAAAGGGACAUCCAAAGUUUUCCUUCCAUUUUAAGAAAAGCAAAUCAACAGGGUACAGGAGUUUUCAAAACCAAAGUUAAUCUGGCCUAUUUGUUGAAGUGACUGGGUCUCAGGAGGGGUUCAGGGUGAUUUUUAGAAUAGCAUAAGUGGCUAACUUCAAAAGAGUCUACUUAGCUACUUAUAGUAAAAACAGUUAUAUUUCAACUCUCUCUCCCCUUUACCCAGGUCAUUAUAAUAGGGUAAGUAAGGAACCCCUCAAAUCCAAGUAUGUUUCCUGACACCACCUGAUUCAUAUAGCAUGUUUUAUAUCCACCAUCCUCUACUGCUUUUAUAAACAUGAGGUUUGAAAUAUUUUAUGCAAUAUUUGAAUAAAUGUUAACCCCCAAAUUUAAAAUGUAAAAUUACCAGCAGAUAGCCAGUGAUGUUGUCAUCUUGAUUUACUAGUGACCCAGUACUGUACCUUGUUCUUUGCAUUUAAGUGGAUUGAUUGUUCAUUUGUGCUUGUUUGUGAUGUGUAUGAGAGGAUGUAUUACAUUUUACACAGCAUUUCUAUUUGGUCUUAGGAACAUUUAUACAAAGGUACCUUCAGCUAGCAACACAGUUAAUACAGUUUUUUUAAAAAAUCAAUCAAUUUUUAUUUUGUUUAACCCCAAAACUUAAAUUAAUGUUAGAA